Aegilops tauschii subsp. strangulata is the source of this 1074-nucleotide long non-coding RNA. RefSeq lists it as uncharacterized. NCBI's taxonomy places the organism in Eukaryota, Viridiplantae, Streptophyta, Magnoliopsida, Poales, Poaceae. The record is from RefSeq and is a predicted model, not a curated record.
CCCACCCCACCCCCGCGCCGCAUCUACUCCGGCUUGUCGAUUCCCGCCUCCGCCGGCGACCACCCGCAACCGCCGACGCUCCGGAUGACCCGCUAAAGUCUCCACCCACCCGGAUUUGGGCCUCUCUCAUCGGCGACAUCGUGUUUGGGAUGGAUUCGACGGGUACCAACUCGCGCAACCCCCAGAACGAGUCUGCACCGCAUCUCGGUAUGGCCUUCUCCCCUAGGCGCUCGGAGCUCAGUUAUCGACCGGCCACCGACACAGCUACGCACUGUGGUCGUCGGCCUGGCUCAACCCUAGCCCAGCAGCUCGCCGGCUCCCCAUUGCCGAUCAUCAAGUGUGGCCACUACCCGCAACAUGUGCUAUGCCGAGUUUCGACCACGCCGCAACAUCCCAGAUGGGUGUUCUUCAAGUGCAAAAAGAUGGGGAUGGAUGCAAGUUUUGGUAUUGGGAAGAAGGGUGCAUUGAUCUAUUGAUAGCAAUAAAUUUGCUAGAUGUUCGUACACUAUUUGCUAGAGUUGAGACAGGAGAUGAGUAUAGAGAUGACACAAUGUCCAAUUGUAUGGAGGCGGGGAAGAACGAAGUGUGCAAGCUCAAGAAGCCGAUAGAGAACUGCAACAAUGUGUGCAACGAAGACAUAGAGAAAAUAUUAAUCCAACUAGUGGGACCAGUUAUGGAAGUUGGAUCUCUAUUAAAGUGUCCAAUUGUGGUUCUGGUUUUCUUUAGAUCGAGAGAGAAUCAAGGUAAUAGAAAAUUUACCUUACGGCCAAGAUGUAAGAGGAAUGCAAACUUUUAUGGGGCAUGCUAGUUUCUACUGAAGGUUUAUUAAAGAUUUCUCCAAGAUUUUAGAACCUUUGACUGGCCUCUUGCAGAAAGAUGUACCCUAUUCUUUUGAUGAGAAUUGUACACAUGCUUAUGAAAAGCUUAGGGAUGCACUGAUUACGGCUCCCAUCAUCCAGCCCCUGAAGUGGGAUGAACCUUUUGAGAUAAUGUGUGAUGCUAGCAAUUAUGCUAUUGGAUCUGUCCUAGGACAGCGAGAUGAUAAAAAACUUAACAUUGCCUUUUAUGCUAGUA